GGCAAGCUUCCUUCUAUGUAUCCCUUCUUUUGCUAUACUUUGUUUAACGCUACAAGGAGUUACCAUUCACUCCAACAACGCUCUUUCACUCAGCUCAUUUAAUCUCUCAAUUUAAGAAAUGAACCUAUCCUCUCCCAAACCUUUUUCAGCCACGACACAGUGCAGGCCACCAUCCACUAUCCAGACCACGGCUUGGCUGUCCUCGGUUAGGUGUCCAUCUCUGAUCUAACCUGCUGUAGCCAGAGAGCAGAAGUCACCAAGUUUUUCCAUUGACUGCGCACUAUGUGGCUGGCACAAUUCCUAUAUGGAGAAUUAGGACCUCUACCCAAAGGAGCUUAUGUUCUAAGGCACAUGCAGAGGAGCCAGCAGAAGACUCCAAUCCCCCAAAGGGAUGAUUGAGCAAGUUUGGAAAUGUCCUGAAUCUCAGCAAACACUUCAAGCAACAGAUGAACUUCUAAUGUGUUAAGUCACUGAGAUAUUUGGGCUUAUUUAUUAUGAAUGUUAGGCUCUUCUGAAUAAAACAAACUUCCACCCUCAUAAUAUCAGCAUGAGGGCUUAAGUGGCAAUAAGACAAAUCAGGCAAAGGAUGUCAGCUGACCUUGGAGACUGGACAGACAUAUGGGAUAAAUCAGGAAUGCGAAGGAGAUUUUAGUGGUGGAAAUCACUGGGUGUGGGGAGACCAGUGGUUGAUUACAAAAGCUGGGAAUAAGGCUAACCAUGGAUAUGAAUCUUAAAUAGCUGUAAAGUUGGAAGACCACGGUAGCUGGGGGUGAGAGCUAGGGUCAAGAAGAUUUUCUAAAAAUCAAUGUUAUGUUCUCUGAGAGGCCUUUCAUGAUACCUAAGUAACACCCCUCUACCCUGACUCCUUUAUUCCUUUCCAUGACACUUUGACAUAUAAUACACAUUUUAAUAAUACAUUUAUUUGCUGAAUUAAUUAUUUAUUGUUUUACCCAGUAUAAUGUUUCAUAAGA
Long non-coding RNA from Ailuropoda melanoleuca (giant panda), 971 nucleotides. RefSeq lists it as uncharacterized. The transcript has 3 exons. Lineage: Eukaryota; Metazoa; Chordata; Mammalia; Carnivora; Ursidae. The record is from RefSeq and is a predicted model, not a curated record.